Molecule: ribosomal RNA, 254 nt
Filed under: uncultured bacterium
Lineage: Bacteria
Description: partial 16S ribosomal RNA
Rfam family: Bacterial small subunit ribosomal RNA
Source: RNAcentral
UACGGGGGGAGCAAGCGUUGUUCGGAUUUACUGGGCGUAAAGGGCGGGUAGGCGGCCACUGCAAGUCGGUUGUGAAAUCUCCGGGCUUAACCCGGAAAGGUCAAUCGAUACUGCAGGGCUAGAGUGCAGAAGGGGCAACUGGAAUUCUCGGUGUAGCGGUGAAAUGCGUAGAUAUCGAGAGGAACACCUGCGGCGAAGGCGGGUUGCUGGGCUGACACUGACGCUGAACUGCGAAAGCUAGGGGAGCAAACGGG